This 650-nucleotide long non-coding RNA is filed under the name Homo sapiens (human). RNAcentral describes it as "HSALNT0400081". Lineage: Eukaryota; Metazoa; Chordata; Mammalia; Primates; Hominidae. The record is from RNAcentral.
AUCAGAAAGAAUGCAAUUCACUGAUAUUUACUGAACACGUACAUGAAAAGCACAGUGACCACCUCUUUGGCCGGGAAGUGAGUGCACUCAAAGCAGGAUUUCCUGGCAACUGCUCCAGUAAUGUCUUACUGAGAAUGGAGAAAUCUGGAGGAUAAGAGGAAAGAGGAAAAAUGAAGUCUUCAUGGAAGAUAUUUUAUCCAUGGAACUGCACACUGUGGAAGCCUUGCAGAACCCGUGUCACAUCUUAGGGACACACGUCCCAGCCUGCUGGAAAUCUGAAGAACCCAGUAUGGGGGAGAGGAAGCAGUGUGCAGACCAUCUAGUGACAUCCAUUAAUUCAUGGAGGAGGGAAUUGAGGUCCACAGUCUGCUUCUACACCCCAAAGGAAAAGGGGAGUGUUUUACAACUUAUUUGAAAUGUGAAGGACUGGCCUGGCACUUAGUGUACUCUUGGUUAAUGACAUGUGGAUUGUUUUAAUGAUGCCCAAACACUCUUGUAAAGUGGAAAAUAUAGGCAGCCUGGGGUGCACAUCAGGGUCAGCAUCAGGGAAUAUAAGCUCAUUAGUAGGUUAACACAUACCUCCUUUUCCUGCUGAAAACCAUGGCUGGCCUCCAACCAGAAACGCCCCUUCAUACUUUUGAAGCAGGUCU